AAAUUGAAGAGUUUGAUCAUGGCUCAGAUUGAACGCUGGCGGCAGGCCUAACACAUGCAAGUCGAGCGGUAGCACAGAGAGCUUGCUCUCGGGUGACGAGCGGCGGACGGGUGAGUAAUGUCUGGGAAACUGCCUGAUGGAGGGGGAUAACUACUGGAAACGGUAGCUAAUACCGCAUAACGUCGCAAGACCAAAGUGGGGGACCUUCGGGCCUCAUGCCAUCAGAUGUGCCCAGAUGGGAUUAGCUAGUAGGUGGGGUAACGGCUCACCUAGGCGACGAUCCCUAGCUGGUCUGAGAGGAUGACCAGCCACACUGGAACUGAGACACGGUCCAGACUCCUACGGGAGGCAGCAGUGGGGAAUAUUGCACAAUGGGCGCAAGCCUGAUGCAGCCAUGCCGCGUGUAUGAAGAAGGCCUUCGGGUUGUAAAGUACUUUCAGCGGGGAGGAAGGCGAUAAGGUUAAUAGCCUUGUCGAUUGACGUUACCCGCAGAAGAAGCACCGGCUAACUCCGUGCCAGCAGCCGCGGUAAUACGGAGGGUGCAAGCGUUAAUCGGAAUUACUGGGCGUAAAGCGCACGCAGGCGGUCUGUCAAGUCGGAUGUGAAAUCCCCGGGCUCAACCUGGGAACUGCAUUCGAAACUGGCAGGCUAGAGUCUUGUAGAGGGGGGUAGAAUUCCAGGUGUAGCGGUGAAAUGCGUAGAGAUCUGGAGGAAUACCGGUGGCGAAGGCGGCCCCCUGGACAAAGACUGACGCUCAGGUGCGAAAGCGUGGGGAGCAAACAGGAUUAGAUACCCUGGUAGUCCACGCCGUAAACGAUGUCGAUUUGGAGGUUGUGCCCUUGAGGCGUGGCUUCCGGAGCUAACGCGUUAAAUCGACCGCCUGGGGAGUACGGCCGCAAGGUUAAAACUCAAAUGAAUUGACGGGGGCCCGCACAAGCGGUGGAGCAUGUGGUUUAAUUCGAUGCAACGCGAAGAACCUUACCUGGUCUUGACAUCCACAGAACUUAGCAGAGAUGCUUUGGUGCCUUCGGGAACUGUGAGACAGGUGCUGCAUGGCUGUCGUCAGCUCGUGUUGUGAAAUGUUGGGUUAAGUCCCGCAACGAGCGCAACCCUUAUCCUUUGUUGCCAGCGGUUAGGCCGGGAACUCAAAGGAGACUGCCAGUGAUAAACUGGAGGAAGGUGGGGAUGACGUCAAGUCAUCAUGGCCCUUACGACCAGGGCUACACACGUGCUACAAUGGCAUAUACAAAGAGAAGCGACCUCGCGAGAGCAAGCGGACCUCAUAAAGUAUGUCGUAGUCCGGAUUGGAGUCUGCAACUCGACUCCAUGAAGUCGGAAUCGCUAGUAAUCGUAGAUCAGAAUGCUACGGUGAAUACGUUCCCGGGCCUUGUACACACCGCCCGUCACACCAUGGGAGUGGGUUGCAAAAGAAGUAGGUAGCUUAACCUUCGGGAGGGCGCUUACCACUUUGUGAUUCAUGACUGGGGUGAAGUCGUAACAAGGUAACCGUAGGGGAACCUGCGGUUGGAUCACCUCCUUACCUUAAAGAA
Molecule: ribosomal RNA, 1550 nt
Filed under: Klebsiella quasipneumoniae
Lineage: Bacteria; Pseudomonadati; Pseudomonadota; Gammaproteobacteria; Enterobacterales; Enterobacteriaceae
Description: bacterial SSU rRNA
Rfam family: Bacterial small subunit ribosomal RNA
Source: RNAcentral